CUUAAGGGCCUGGCGCACAUAAGGUGUGACCUUUUCAUUCCCGUUGUUAUGGAGGUUGCAAAUUCGUGAAGAAUCAGCAUCAUGUUUGGCAGCUGAGUAUUGGAGCCAGGAGCCUGCCAUGAGGUUUUGAGAACAGAGUGCUGUUUUAGAGCUGGCAGCAGCAUCUCAGCCCAAGAGAAGGUUAUAUUCCCAGAGGAUGUCAGUCCCAAGGACCAGUAGCUGCCAUCAGUUUGGAUUCUGAAAACUAACUGGCAUCAACACUGGGUGUAGAAACAUGCUUGCCUUAUGUAUCAGAGGACAUGCUCAGCAGAUCCAAGAGAUAUAUUUGGCAACUUUUUCUAGAAAAGGCACAUUGGGUAUCAUUCAUUACAUUCUUGAGUUUUUUUGGGUUUUUUUUUUUUUUUUUGAGACAGUCUUGCUGUAUUGCCCAGGCUGGAGUGUGGUGGCACAAUCACAGCUCAUUGCAUCCUCAAUCACCCAGGCCUAAGCAAUCCUCCCACCUUGUAGCUGGGACUACAGCUCACAGCACACCUGGCUAAAAUUUUUUUUUUGUUGAGACGGAUUCUCUAUGUUGCCCAGGCUGGUCUCAGGCUCCUGGGCUCAGAUGGUCCUCCUGCCUCAGCUUCCAAAGGCACAGGCCAAGUUGUAGCUUUGUCCCUUGCCAUCAUGCCCAACAAGAGGUUCUAUACCUUUUAAUGAAUUGACUUUCAUAAAUUGGUUAUGUUGGUGGGCAAAGUUCUUUAAGCUGGAAAUUGUAAAUUCCUCCUGAAAUGUUUUUUCAUGCAGUUACCAUGAACUAAUACUACAAUAAAGGAUGGUCUUGGGUGUCAA
This 831-nucleotide long non-coding RNA is filed under the name Homo sapiens (human). The record is from RNAcentral. Lineage: Eukaryota; Metazoa; Chordata; Mammalia; Primates; Hominidae.